AUUGAACGCUGGCGGCAGGCCUAACACAUGCAAGUCGAGCGGAUGACGGGAGCUUGCUCCUUGAUUCAGCGGCGGACGGGUGAGUAAUGCCUAGGAAUCUGCCUGGUAGUGGGGGACAACGUUUCGAAAGGAACGCUAAUACCGCAUACGUCCUACGGGAGAAAGCAGGGGACCUUCGGGCCUUGCGCUAUCAGAUGAGCCUAGGUCGGAUUAGCUAGUAGGUGAGGUAAUGGCUCACCUAGGUGACGAUCCGUAACUGGUCUGAGAGGAUGAUCAGGCACACUGGAACUGAGACACGGUCCAGACUCCUGCGGGAGGCAGCAGUGGGGAAUAUUGGACAAUGGGCGGAAGCCUGAUCCAGCCAUGCCGCGUGUGUGAAGAAGGUCUUCGGAUUGUAAAGCACUUUAAGUUGGGAGGAAGGGCAGUAAGUUAAUACCUUGCUGUUUUGACGUUACCGACAGAAUAAGCACCGGCUAACUCUGUGCCAGCAGCCGCCGUAA
RNAcentral lists this ribosomal RNA (500 nucleotides) under uncultured bacterium. RNAcentral's name for it is "partial 16S ribosomal RNA". It matches the Rfam family "Bacterial small subunit ribosomal RNA", at positions 30 to 523 of the family's 1533-position model. The record is from RNAcentral.